Molecule: non-coding RNA, 62 nt
Filed under: Paenibacillus sp.
Lineage: Bacteria; Bacillati; Bacillota; Bacilli; Caryophanales; Paenibacillaceae
Description: Fluoride sequence
Rfam family: Fluoride riboswitch aptamer (crcB RNA motif)
Source: RNAcentral
CGAAUAAAAGGCGAUGGAGUUCGCCAUAACCGCCUGAAAAGGCUGAUGACUCCUACCGGUGA